UACGUAGGGGGCAAGCGUUUGUCCGGAAUUAUUGGGCGUAAAGAGCGCGUAGGCGGUCCGGUAAGUCGGUUGUGAAAGUCGGGGGCUCAACCCUCGGAUGCCGGUGGAUACUGUCGGGCUAGAGUGCGGAAGAGGCGAGUGGAAUUCCUGGUGUAGCGGUGAAAUGCGUAGAUAUCGAGAGGAACACCUGCGGCGAAGGCGGGUUGCUGGGCUGAUACUGACGCUGAGGCGCGAAAGCCAGGGGAGCGAACGGG
Molecule: ribosomal RNA, 254 nt
Filed under: uncultured bacterium
Lineage: Bacteria
Description: partial 16S ribosomal RNA
Rfam family: Bacterial small subunit ribosomal RNA
Source: RNAcentral